GGCAUUUGUCAAUGGGUUGCUGAGGUCACGUGAACAUGCCUGGAUCGGUUUGACUAACAGGAUGACCGAGGAGUGGAAGCUGGAGUGGGAGUGGGUGGACGGGACCCCAGUCACUACUAAGUUUUGGGAGCCCAGCAAAUACAACUUGUUCAGAAGUUCGGUACUGUACUGUGGAGAACUUGUACAAACCUCAUCAAACGGAAAGUGGAAUGAUGAGUUCUGUUUUUCUCCUAACGUCUGGAUCUGUGAGAAAAAUAAGAUGAACAAGCUUUAAACUACUGAUGUGACAAUGAGUGGCUUGAAAAUGCAGGUCUAAUAUUGAACUGUGAUGGUUAAAAAAAAAAAAAACAACUGUGAUUUUGUGGAAAUAAAAAACAGUAACAGAUGCUUUAAUGGGAAAAAAUGGAUGUAUGUGAAGGGGACAGGGAUGGAAUGCAUAAAUAAAGAGAAGGACUGCUGCAAAUAAUCAAUAAUCGAUGGUAAAUCACAAUAAUAAACAUUUAUGAGUGACUCUAGCUGUUGUAUUUUUGCACCACUUUACUCCUGAACAUCAAUUACAGUUUUUUUUACUACAAUUAUUUUUGGGCUUUUGUUUAUCACCAGUGAUUUUGUGUUUUUCUUCAUAACAAAUCCAAUAAAAAGAUAAGAACAAACACAUCUCAAAAUUGCUGACAGACAGAUCAUGCAUCAUGUGUUGCUGCUUCCAAUAUUAUCCACAAACUAUUAAAUCAGAAUACUUUAUAAAAGUCAGCAGAAAUUGUUGCAUGUUACAGUUACUCAAGUACAAGUAUAACAUAACGCCACAGCAAAGAAAGUAUCAAUUUAAAAAAAUUUGCUGAAUUUUUUUUAGACCACCCCUUGUUUUCUUCAAUUUCUUGUUCAUGUUAAUGCCUGGUACAACUAAAGGUACAUUUGUUUGGACAAAUAUAAUGAUAACUAGAAGCACUCGGAGAGCGCAGACCUCCACCAAGGCUGAUCAGUGGCCCCCCCUGUGGGCCCCCCCACCCCCCAUCACCACCAAAAUUUAAUCAUUUCUUUCUUAUCCUAUUUCCAACAAACCCUGAAAAUUUCAUCCAAAUCUGUCCAUAACUUUUUGAGUUAUGUUGCACACUAACGGACAGACAAACAAACAAACAAACAAACAAACAGACAAACAAACAAACCCUGGCAAAAACAUAACCUCCUUGGCGGAGGUAACAACAAAAACAGCUCAUAAGACUGUAAUUUCAGAGCUGAUAUCUAUCUAUUUUCCUUGUUUUUCUUGAUAAUGAGUGAGUACUUGACUGCAUAACCAUGGUUUUUGAUGACUUUUGAUGGUUUAUUUUUUGAUGGUCUAAUUUUUUCCACGACUGUAUAUAUACCAAAUACACAUAUAAUAAAAACACAGUUGUACAAUGUACUUCAAAAAUAUUAUCAAUAUGACGAGUAAAAUAAAUAUGAAUAAAUGAUCAGAAA
Molecule: long non-coding RNA, 1455 nt
Filed under: Sphaeramia orbicularis (orbiculate cardinalfish)
Lineage: Eukaryota; Metazoa; Chordata; Actinopteri; Kurtiformes; Apogonidae
Description: lncRNA (ENSSORG00005011835.1)
Source: RNAcentral